GUUGCUAUUUCAAUCCGUUAAUUAAGUGAUUCUCCUCAUUGUCAUCAGUGUUAUACCCUCUGGGAAAAUAGCUCAAUUGUUUCCCUGCAUUGAUUUUCAUUGGUAAGUGAUUUCUUAUGAAAUUCUUUUGAGCUUUCCUUAUUAAAAAAGCUUGAGCUUUUAUCACCUAAUACGGAUAUCAAUUAACUUGUGAACGAUUUUGUAAUGAAACUAGGAGUUAAAUAAGAUUUUUACAUGAUGAUCAACUUGUUAAUUUUGUAUAUUUCAUAUUUAACAGGAUUUGGGCACGGAACGUUUGGAUUCUAAUAUUUAUAUAUUUAGUUUUAAUCAGUUUGACUUUCGUAAUCUUUCUCGCCUCAUCAUUAAGGGAUUAAGAAUUAGAGAAACAUUAGAAACAGGAAGAAAAUAACUUCAGAAAUAAGUAAGAGGGAAAAAAAUUUAUGAUAUUUGGUGUUGAAAUGAACUAAAAACUCGUCAGUACAACGUGUCGUUUGCAGGUUGUGAAGAUGAGUGCCAUGUCGUUUCAUUUAAGCAAUAUACCAGAACUGACAAAUUGCCAAUGUCGUUCAAGACCAUUAUAACUCACGUGCCUUACGCAUGCCUCUCUUAAGCUUAAACGGCAAAGCUAGCAGUCGUUUAAGGAAGGCUUAUUAAUAGCGCGUGAGAAGCUCGUGCCAGGUUGGUUAAAAGGCCGUUAGAUUUAGAGGGAAAUCUGGAUCUGUUACACCUGCAUCAACUGAUAUAUAAACGAGCUGGUUCUGGUGUUAGCAUGUAUGACCAAGGAGAGAGAGAUAAGGCAUCGAUACUGAGAGAAAAGCUUGACUAAGUGGUCUCUGUAUUAUGUGUGAUUUCUCUGUAACCUUGAAAGCUUAAUAAAACUGCUCUCUGUGUUGGUUUUCUCCAGUGGAUGUAGGCACCCUUCAACAGGUGCUGAACCACUUAAGCUCUGUGUGUUCUUUGCCUUUAGGUUGUGAUCUUUGAUCUGUGCAUUGUUCUUUGUUAAGUGUAAGAUUGGUUCUUGAAUCUUUGAGUCAGAGUUGGGUCUUGGGGUGAGAUUAAUCUAGUAUCUAAAGGGUUAAUCUCUCAACAUUUGGAAUGUAUCAUAAUUUUUUGUUGAGUAAAUAUGUAUGAAUAGUUUUUGGGAGUUUUAGCCAGGAGUCAUUUAUUGAAGAUGUCUAGCAAUUAAAGAUCUCUGUCUCAGUAGUUUUCCCAAUCAAAAUCAAGAAGCAAAAAAAA
This 1236-nucleotide long non-coding RNA is filed under the name Citrus maxima (pomelo). RNAcentral's name for it is "long non-coding RNA (CMAX_LNC001227)". Lineage: Eukaryota; Viridiplantae; Streptophyta; Magnoliopsida; Sapindales; Rutaceae. The record is from RNAcentral.